GCUGUUAAGGGUUCGUAGUUGGACUCGGGACGGGGAGAUUCGUGCACAACCGUGCUCGUUCGCCUCGCCCUGUCACAGACGGGGCUGCGUCCAGAUGGAGGCCUUCACUGGUCGCCGUCCCCGCAAGGGAACGAGUAAAACACACUCACCGGACCGCCCGUCGUUCUCACCGUGAAUAAACAGCGUGUUCAAAGCAGCCGUUCGGCCGCAUGACAAAGCAUGGAAUGACAGAGCAUCGCCAGCCGGUUGUGCUUUUGUUGGUUUUACUACCUAGUUGGGUAACUCGCGGCGUGUGGCGCCUUCGGGACGCCCACGCUCGCACGGGAUUAACGGGGGUUGUCGGGGGAAAACGUAUUUGGGCGUGGAGGUGAAAUUCUUAGACCGCCCAAGGACGAACUUAUGCGAAGGCAUUUUCCAGUAUACCUUCCUCAAUCAAGAACCAAAGUG
This 447-nucleotide ribosomal RNA is filed under the name uncultured kinetoplastid. RNAcentral describes it as "bacterial SSU rRNA". It matches the Rfam family "Eukaryotic small subunit ribosomal RNA", at positions 615 to 991 of the family's 1831-position model. Lineage: Eukaryota; Euglenozoa; Kinetoplastea. The record is from RNAcentral.